RNAcentral lists this ribosomal RNA (519 nucleotides) under Halophylus maireani. Its description in RNAcentral is "partial large subunit ribosomal RNA". The stretch from base 386 to 519 matches the Rfam family "Archaeal large subunit ribosomal RNA", at positions 2542 to 2676 of the family's 2987-position model. Lineage: Eukaryota; Metazoa; Arthropoda; Insecta; Hemiptera; Miridae. The record is from RNAcentral.
ACAUGGUCUUUUGUUUAUAUAAAAGAUCUGGCCUGCCCAAUGAUUAAUUUAAUGGCUGCAGUAUUUUGACUGUACAAAGGUAGCAUAAUCAUUUGUCUUUUAAUUGGAGUCUGGAAUGAAUGGUUGGAUGAAAAAUUUACUUUCUUUAUUUUAAAUAAAAAAAUUAUUUUCUGAAUUAAAAAAUUUAGAUUUUAUUAAAAGACGAGAAGACCCUAUAGAACUUUAUUUGUUUUAUAAUGUUUAUUUUUUAGGAAAUAAUUUAUAUUUAUUGUUGAAUAAAUUUUGUUGGGGUGAUAAAAAAAAUUUUUUAACUUUUUUUAUUUAUUACAUUUAUAUAUGAGUAUUUGAUCCUUUAUUAAAGAUUACAAGAUUAAGUUACCUUAGGGAUAACAGCGUUAUUAUUUUAGAGAGUUCAUAUUGAUAAAAUAGUUUGCGACCUCGAUGUUGGAUUAAAAUAAGUUUCAGGAGUAGAAAAUUGAAUACUAGGUCUGUUCGACCUUUAAAUUUUUACAUGAUCUG